CACGGACGUUUUAAAGACUGAACAGGGGCUGGCCUACCUGGACAAGAAAAGGCGUGGCCUGAUGACUGACAAUGGAGAGACAAAGAGAGAGUCGUGGGUGGGGAGUAGGCAGAGGGUGUCUCCGAGCAGCAGAGAGGGGGGGGAUGAUCGGAGAGAUGACCCCCAAUACAGAAAGAGACCCCAUGACCACGACACACCCACCUCGACCCGCAAGGAGACGAGGUCACACCAUAGAGGGGGGUCAGAGGAAGAAGAGGAGAUGAAAGAAGUCAUAAUAGGAGAGGAGAACGAGGGUAGUGUGUCAGGGAGGCGCAGGUCUGGGGUACCUCUGGAGGAGGUGACCUUUACUGAGGGGGACAGGCACCAGAAAAAGCGUUACCCACAAUCCACCAGGACCAGGAAGUUCAAUUCAGGUUCAAGUGAAUCCACACGCGCUGAGAGGGAGAGAUGUAGGAGGGAGUCUGGGCUCUACUGUAACGGACAGGUGAAGGAUGGAUGGAUGAAGGAUGGCGCGGUGGAGAGCUUGACCACAGACACCUCCAGGCGCUCCAGGGAGAGCGUGCUGCGCCUGUCCGGGGAGUCCAGAGGCGUGGGAGGACUGCUUCCAAAACGGCUCUGUCUGGAGGGGACAGGGGGCAGAGACACCAAUGUAGCAUCCAUAGAGGUAGAGGUGGAUCCCUCCGACUUUGACGGGACCUUGAUGGUUGUCACUGUGGGAGAAGACGAGGAAGUUGUUAGCCCCUCUAACCCCAGCUGUGGAAAGGAGAGGAGAGGAACCCUGAGGCUCUGCCUGUCCUCCAGUCAGGAUAGGUCGCCCAAACCCAGCCCUGCUGAACCCAUUGUUCUCUCCAGUGAUGAGGAGGAGGUAGUCACCCCAUCCCGCAGUUCAGUCCUUUGGCCACAGACUGGCGCUAGUGAUUCUAAGCCCCAGAGAAAUCAUUCUCAGGAACAAAUGGUGGCAGAGAUGCACUCUCAGUUGGUGCCUGUGGUGGUGACCGGAUUUGGGGUGGCCCCCUUCCCCAGCACUGAGGACUCUGAG
Molecule: long non-coding RNA, 1039 nt
Organism: Oncorhynchus tshawytscha (Chinook salmon)
Lineage: Eukaryota; Metazoa; Chordata; Actinopteri; Salmoniformes; Salmonidae
Source: Ensembl